This 253-nucleotide ribosomal RNA is filed under the name uncultured bacterium. RNAcentral's name for it is "partial 16S ribosomal RNA". It matches the Rfam family "Bacterial small subunit ribosomal RNA", at positions 524 to 776 of the family's 1533-position model. The record is from RNAcentral.
UACAGAGGGUGCGAGCGUUGUCCGGAAUCACUGGGCGUAAAGGGCGCGUAGGCGGUCUCUUAAGCGUGUGGUGAAAGCCCGGGGCUCAGCUCCGGGUCGGCCGUGCGAACUGGGGGACUGGAGCUUGUCAGAGGCAGGCGGAAUUCCGGGUGUAGCGGUGGAAUGCGUAGAGAUCCGGAAGAACACCGGUGGCGAAGGCGGCCUGCUGGGACAGUGCUGACGCUGAGGCGCGACAGCGUGGGGAGCAAACAGG